This 291-nucleotide unclassified non-coding RNA is filed under the name Hevea brasiliensis (rubber tree). Lineage: Eukaryota; Viridiplantae; Streptophyta; Magnoliopsida; Malpighiales; Euphorbiaceae. The record is from RNAcentral.
AUUAACACUAUAAAUAAGAGAAUGGUAGAAAAGAUUAUUGGGCUUUCAGCUCAUAAAGUGAUGUUGUUGCCCAUUGCAGAGAGAGGUUUUGCCAAUGGCUAAGGAUUUAGCUCAGCCUAUUGAUGAAGGACACUUGCUCAUUACAGUAAAGAGAGGCUUCGGUCUAAGGUGGAGGAAUGACAUAGAAUUCAAGAAGAAGGAUUCUUGUCUAUUAGUGAGAAGGCUCUUGCCCAUAAAGUUGAAGACACCCUUUGCAAUGUAGUAUUAUAAUAGUAAAUAUAUUGGGUUAUG